GAUGAACGCUGGCGGCGUGCCUAAUACAUGCAAGUCGAACGCUGGAGAUCUAGCUUGCUAGAUCGAAGGAGUGGCGAACGGGUGAGUAAUACAUAAGCAACCUACCCACGAAGACUGGGAUAAUCUCUGGAAACGGGGACUAAUACCGGAUAGGUAAUCGGAAGGCAUCUUCUGGUUAUUAAAGGUUAAAAACACUGGUGGAUGGGCUUAUGGCGCAUUAGUUAGUUGGUGAGGUAACGGCCCACCAAGACGAUGAUGCGUAGCCGGCCUGAGAGGGUGAACGGCCAAAUUGGGACUGGGACACGGCCCAGACUCCUACGGGAGGCAGCAGUAGGGAAUUUUCGGCAAUGGGGGCAACCCUGACCGAGCAACGCCGCGUGAGUGAAGACGGCCUUCGGGUUGUAAAGCUCUGUUGUAAGGGAAGAACGGUAGAUAGAGAAUAUCUAAGUGACGGUACCUUACCAGAAAGCCACGGCUAACUACGUG
This 486-nucleotide ribosomal RNA is filed under the name uncultured bacterium. RNAcentral's name for it is "partial 16S ribosomal RNA". It matches the Rfam family "Bacterial small subunit ribosomal RNA", at positions 28 to 507 of the family's 1533-position model. The record is from RNAcentral.